Molecule: ribosomal RNA, 460 nt
Filed under: uncultured bacterium
Lineage: Bacteria
Description: partial 16S ribosomal RNA
Rfam family: Bacterial small subunit ribosomal RNA
Source: RNAcentral
CCUACGGGAGGCAGCAGUGAGGAAUAUUGGUCAAUGGACGAGAGUCUGAACCAGCCAAGUAGCGUGAAGGAUGACUGCCCUAUGGGUUGUAAACUUCUUUUAUAUGGGAAUAAAACGUUCCACGUGUGUGAUUUUGUAUGUACCAUAUGAAUAAGGAUCGGCUAACUCCGUGCCAGCAGCCGCGGUAAUACGGAGGAUCCGAGCGUUAUCCGGAUUUAUUGGGUUUAAAGGGAGCGUAGGUGGGUUGUUAAGUCAGUUGUGAAAGUUUGGGGCACAACCGUAAAAUUGCAGUUGAAACUGGCAGUCUUGAGUACAGUAGAGGUAGGCGGAAUUCGUGGUGUAGCGGUGAAAUGCGUAGAUAUAACGAAGAACUCCGAUUGCGAAGGCAGUUCACUGGACUGCAACUGACACUGAGGCUCGAAAGUGUGGGUAUCAAACAGGAUUAGAUACCCGUGUAGUC